UAACUAGUACGGAACAGAUAGAAAGCAUACAUCAUACAUUCAACAUUUUGAGACUUUGAUUUUUUAUUUCUUCAGUCAGCUCCGGCCACUGGUUCAAUACGCAAGGGUUUUUGCCUUUUUCUUCCUAUGCCACAGUAAUCCAUCUUCAAUCUUUACUUCUCCAUUAUUAUGCUGCUCAAUUAUCUUCCCCCCAAAAUCAAUACCAUUGCAUAAACCAACUUUUUUCUCUCUUUUCAAUGGCAGAUGCUAUUCGUUUAUCUUCUUGCAAUUCUCUUCAAUACCCCACUUCUUUGCUCACCUCACUGAAUAAUUGGCACCCAGUUAUAUUGCGUAAUCGGAAUUUUCUUGAAAUGGGUACUAAAAUUUUAAAUUCAGCUCUUGUUUCUGUUGCUCCUCUCUCCUUCAAAUCCAGAAAGCGAGUGAAUUCUUUUAAGGUGAAUGCUGUUGUUGCUGAAGCGACUGAUCAACCGAAAUGGUGGGAGAAGAAUGCAGGACCUAAUAUGAUUGAUAUUCAUUCCACUGACGAGUUUUUGAGUGCAUUGAGUGAAGCCGGAGAUAAAUUAGUAGUUGCCGAAUUUUAUGGAACUUGGUGUGCCUCUUGUCGUGCUUUGUUUCCCAGGUUGUGCAGAAUGGCUGAGGCACAUCCGGAGAUAUUGUUUAUAAAGGUCAAUUUUGACGAGAAUAAGGCAAUGUGCAAAAGUAUGAAUGUGAAGGUACUUCCUUACUUCCAUUUCUAUCGCGGAGCUGAUGGAAAGGUGGAAGAGUUCUCAUGUUCACUAGCUAAGGAUUGUAGAUCUAGCUGCACAGUUUCCACAAUUUGCAGGAGUUGGCUUGGCUUACAUCAUCGUCCAGUUGCUGGUUCUAAUUACCCCUUGCAGAUUCUUUCCUGAAUUGAUCUGCCAUCAACUGGGGUUUUGUCGCCAUCGUUCUUUGGGUCAAGCAUUGUCAUCAUUGUGUUUCACCAUGGUUUUGAUUAUGCAAUUCCAGAAAAUAAAGGACGCCAUUGAAAUGCAUAAUCCAGCUCAGAACGACAAUGUGGGAAAAGUGGGAAAUGAUCUUAGACUUGAUCCUUCAGCCGAUGUAGAUGAUAAAUCAGUCAAAUCUAAUGACACAUAAGAUCCUUUGCUGAUUAUUUUGUUUAUAUACAUAGUAUCUACACUGGUACUAGUACAUAUGUAUAUUUGCAAGUGUUGUGUUGAUUAUAAUCAGAUGUAAUUCUGGCCA
Beta vulgaris subsp. vulgaris (sugar beet) is the source of this 1224-nucleotide RNA transcript. It is a transcript of the gene named thioredoxin-like 2-1, chloroplastic, with no coding region annotated. The record is from RefSeq and is a predicted model, not a curated record. NCBI's taxonomy places the organism in Eukaryota, Viridiplantae, Streptophyta, Magnoliopsida, Caryophyllales, Amaranthaceae. The transcript has 5 exons.